AAUUUGGAACAGAUUGGGGAGUGGGGUGGGAGACUUAGGUCUAAGACUUAGGCUAUUAAGAAAACAAAGACAUCAGUCUAGUUCUCUCUGUUCCUGGUGCAAAGAGAUCACAGAAAUUAGAGGCAAAUAAAUAGUUGUCUCUUUUGCCUGUCUGUCUUAACUUCUAGCCUGUGAAUUCAUUGAGGACAUGGCUUAUCUUAAUAUUCCCACCCUAGCAGAGUACCUGGCUGGUUGAAAUAAUGAAUGGGCUGAUGGACUUAGACAUUCAAAUUCAGUACUUAGGGUUGCUACUCCAUAUUUUUUUCUCUGUUAUAUCUAAUUCAGCUUUUAUUUAUAACCUUAUUGUAAAAAUUGUUUCCCUGUGAGACUAUAAUGAAAGUUAUAGUAGAAUUUUACCAAAUGUGACAUUUGUCCUCUUGUUUAUAACAAUCUCUAAGAAAUAUCAUUAUAUUCUAUAUAUUUUUCAUAAAUUUUGAAUUUCCUUUGCAUAUACAUGGUUACUUUUUUGUCCUUGGAAAAUGAGAACUUCAUUUCUUAAUUAUAUUGGACAAAUAUUAACAUGUCUCUUAAUAUCUAAGAAUGCCAUUUGUUACAUAUAUAAGUAGCUGGAUAUAAUGUACACACAUAAUUAAGAUUUAAAUAUAUUUGGACAACUAUUGAAGCAUAUUAUUUUGUAGAUAUUUGUCUCCACCUAUAGAAAACAUUGCCCAUGUAAUUUUAUCAAUUACAUAGAGGCACAAAAUGAUGAAGAUGAGUAAAAUUAACAAUAAAGUAUAUUUGGAUAUUCAUGUUCAAGUGUUAUUUUUAAAAAUUAGCAGAUUUAGCAAUCUGAGACAACAGAAUUGGA
This 847-nucleotide long non-coding RNA is filed under the name Homo sapiens (human). RNAcentral's name for it is "long non-coding RNA NONHSAT248681". Lineage: Eukaryota; Metazoa; Chordata; Mammalia; Primates; Hominidae. The record is from RNAcentral.